GGGUCUAGGGCUUUUCUUUCAUUGCCGUCUUCCCGUCAGCCUCCACUCCACACGACCACUCCAGGUGCUUCCCGUCUGCCGUGCCUCCCUCCGGCCACCGGCGCCGACCACCAGCUAGCGCCGCCGUCUGAAAUACUCACGACCACUCCAGGUGCUUCUCGGAUUUCAAGUUUUCAGAGUUUUCAACUCUGAAAUACUCUUCCCACCGACCACCAGCUAGCGCCGCCGUCUGCUACGAACCAGCGCCACCGUUUGGAACUAACCGGCGCCGCCGCUGCCCCCUAAGACAGCAGGUUAGUAUUUCCUUCUCACUCUCAAACUUGAUAGAUUAGAUAAUAAUGGUGGAUGGGUGUAUUUGUGAUACAUUCUGAUUUCUGAAAUGGAUUUAUGUAAUUAUGCCCCACCCCUAGCUAGUAAGCUCCGCCCCUGUUUGUGUAAGAACUUGUUGAUGGCAUUGUGUGUUGCUUUUCAAAAAAAUUGAAUCUUUUCAAAUUGUUCCAUUAAAAUCAUGAUGACAGAAUUGCUUUUGAAGUAUCAUGAGGUUUCAGAACAAGAUGUCUUGAUUCGAAAAUCAUUUGUUUUAACUUCAGAUUAAGAUUAAAUCAUAGCUGAAGUUUUAUCUGCUAGAUGCAUAUUUACUCCUUGCCAUAGUCUAAGUGUGGACUGAACAGAUGAAUUGGAGUGCAUGUUGAACUACUACAUUAGGAUUAGUAAAUUUCUACUAUAUAAAUCACAUGAAUUUUGUUUACUUUAAUUGUUGCCUAGGUUGGAAAUUCAUAAUUAUUAGAGUUGUUCUGUUUUUUUUUUUUUUAAAUUACAAUUCUCUAUAAAACAUUUUUUUGUUCCAAAUAAUUAUAGGUUAUGAGUUGGUGUACUGGAUAGGACUCCAUCCUUUCUUCUAAAGGUGAGUUCAAAUCCCACAUCCUACAAAAUUCAAUUUUUUUAAAAUUUCAUAAAAUACAAGUUAACCGGUCCAUUAACCGGUUCGGUUACCGGUUAGGAGAUUGCUCCUUAUCCGGUUCCGGUUAACCGGUAAACCGGUUCAAUUAAAAUCGAACCGUUUAACCGAACCGGACCGAUUACCAGCCCUAAAAAAUACACAUAAUUUGUCACUUUUCUGAUUUAUAAUAUAUUAAUAUGACCUUUUAAUUUGAUCAGAAAAUACACUACUUUUUAAUUUGAUUGUAAUUGUUAUAAAUCAAAAAAUUGGCAAACUAUGUGUAUUUUUUGGCAAUAGCCCCAUCAUUUUUUUUUUCCCGAUUAAAAUAUGUUGACCCUAAAUAUUUCGACACACUAGGUUUCAGGCUAGCCUGUCGAACCUGCAAAUUUACGAUUUUUUUACAUGUAUGAUUUUUUAUUGAUAAUCAUAUAAUUGUAAGAAAAAAUAGGCCUUGUUUUUUUUAGUCAAGACACUUCAACUCGUUUUAGAAUUUGAUAUUUUGGGCUAAUCAGUUUGUUUUAUUUUUCGAAAUAAAAUAUGUUGACUCUAAAUAUUUCGACCCACUAGGUUUCAGGCUAACCCAUCGGACCCGCAAAUUUAUGAUUUCUUUACAUGUAUGACUUUUUUUAGGGUAAAUAUCACUUUCUGUCCCAUCGUUUGUUCGAAUUAUUGAUUAUGUUUCAACUUUUCGAUAAUAUCUAAUUGGUACCCAACCUACCAACAUUUUUUUAAUUGUGUCCCUUAAAAAUUUUCCGACGCUCGGAAAUUGACGUGGAACGCUGGAAAUUUAUUACGUGGAAUUAUUAAUCCACUUGGAAUUGCCAACAUUAUUAUAGUACUUUAUUAUACUUAAAAAAAGAGUAAAAUAAUACAUCCCCUAAACUAAACGUCGUCGUAUCCAAUUCAUCAAAAUCCCAAAUCAAAGAACAUAUCCAGAAUUGCAGAUAACUUAAUAGUAAAUGCUCUUGAACAGUUCAAAUUCGAUUUGAGGCAUAAGCAAAUGGGCGGUUCGAAGAAGAAGAAGAAGCGGAGCGGUGGCAGAGGCCACCGCGCCCAGUCAAAGGACCAUCACUCGACUGACGCCGAUAAUUCUAAAAUUUUAACCAAGGAAGUAACUGCGUUGUGAGUUUUUUCUUAUUUUUGAAUUUUUAACGAACACAUUUUAUAUUAUUGUUGUUUUAAUCAUUCUAGUGAACUACUAUGUGUAGAUAUUUUGUUCAGUGAAUGUACGGUCAAUAGUUUGAGCUCCUGAAUCACCUCCUCGUAUCAACAUCAAGCUCAGGUUCCAGAUUUGUGAUAAUUCAUGGACAUUAAACCUUAGGCUUCAUGUACUUGGUGCAGAUGCUUACCAGGUUAUCCAUAUAAAUGCCCGAAGCUGCAGAUAAUACCAGAGAAAAAGCUUAUAAAAAACUAAUGCUGAUAAUCUUUUAUCUUUACUUUAUGAUCAUGUAGGACCUUAGUGAUAGCCAGAGGAGGAGGACGAUUACUAGAUAUGUUCUUUAAUUUGGGAUUUUGAUGAAUUGGAUACGACAGCGUUUAGUUCAGGGGAUGUAUUAUUUUACUCUCUUUUUUUAAGUAUAAUAAAGUAUAAUAAUACUGACAAUUUCAGGUGGAUUAAUAAGUCCAUGUAAUCAAACUCUUCGGGCGCCGAAAAUGUUUUAAGGGACACAAUUAAAAAAAUGUUGGUAGGUUGGGUACCAAUUAGAUAUUAUCGAAAAAUUGGGAUAUAAUCGAUAAUUCGGCCAAACGAUGGGACAGAAAGUGACAUUUACCCUUUUUUUUUUUAAUUGAUAAUCAUAUUAUUGUAAAAAAAAAGGCCUUGUUUUUUCAAUCAAGACACGACUUGUUUUAAAAUUGAAUAUACAUUUACAUAAUAACAUAAAUGACUAUUUUUCUAUGAUUUUUAUGUCAUAAAUAUUUAUUAUUAAUCAUUGGAGAAAUCCAAAAUAUAUUCCACAACAUCGAAAUCUUAUCGAACUAGAAAGUAAGUAAUAAAAUUUGAAAAUCAAUUAUAAAGAAAAAGUUCGGUUAAUCGGGACAACCCAUUUAAUUUUCGGGCUCGAACUAUUUUAUGUUCGUGUCAUUUGGACUGAAUUUUUUUUAGGCUAAAAUUUUUCAGUUUAAUCCUUUUUUUCCGAUCUUUUUGGGUCAGUUUCAUGUUGUUGUUGUUGUUGUUGUUUUUUUUUUUUUUUUUUUUGUAAUCAAAGUUUCAGGCUUUUAUUGAUAUCUCUAUAACCAUAAUAGUUGAAGCUUAUUAUUUGACGAAGUAAAAGGACGUUACGGACUGAAGUCUACACCCCUUGGAUUUCUCCCUAGGGUCGGAGCCGAGGCAACCAUUAUUUAGUAAGCUCCAUACUCACCUCUUUUCUGGUAAAUCAGUUAGUUGAAGUAUUUUGCCGCUGCUCUCUCUUGCAGUGUUUUGAUGGUGGUUUUACAUCUUCAGAUCGGAAACGACAGUCGCCUCCGGAAAUCGGGUGUGCUAAUAUAGUUGAUAACUGUAAGUAUGAUUAGAGCUUUCAACCACCAUUUUAUGUCUAAUUAUUGGUCUUGAUGUUUUGAGAUAAAUGUGAUUUUUGUGAUUGCUUUGAAACAAUUUUCUUGGUAGAUUGUGAUAAAUGAUUGUUUUACAAAUGAAUUUCUGCCGCUUGUGGGGAUAUUCUUGAAUUAUUGAUCUAAUCAGUUGUUCGAUUAUUUGAAGCUGGAUUGAGCUGCUUCAUUUGCAUUCUUUUUCAGCGUGUGUGUUGUAGGAAGAUAGAUCAAGACUUAGAUUUCGAGUUGAAGGAACUUUAUGAAUGAUACCAUUAAUCAAGAUAGAAAUAGUGCAUAAUUCUAAUUAGCCUAGAACACUUACCAGUUACCAUCUAUUUUUAGGAAACGAUUGAAGUAAACUUGGUCAGGUUAGAAAUCAUUUCUUUUGGGAGAUAGUCAGUGUAUCUAUCUUCUUGCAAUAGUGCGUUUGCAUUAAUUUGUGCACAUUGCCACACAACUAUCUAGCUUCCACAUCACUCAUUGUUAUUGUCGCAAAGCUGGAGUUUUCACUUCGUGAUGCACUCCUCAAGAAACUGGAUCUGCUUUGCAGGAAGAAUCCAGGUUUCUUGGGUUGAGGCAACACGAUAUCCUCACUACUUAACAUCAGAACCACAGACGGCAUCAUUGGCCUCUCGUCUGCUGCAUUCUGGGCACAUAAUAACCCUAUUUGGAUGCACCUCUUUACUUGGGGUUCCACGCACGAAUUUUUGUAGCUUGGAUCGAUCAUCUCCAACUCUCUAUUUUCCUGCCAAAGUAGCCAUGCCUGCGACAAAUAUAUACAUUUUAUUUUGUAUUAAGUGGAUGCAAACAUAACAAGGUUUUCAAAGGGAAACACACUCUUUAUUUUGUGAGUUUGUGUCUUUGGCACUAAAGAGCAACAUAAUAUAUUAGUUCACCUGUUCGAGAAGGUUCUGAUAGCAACAAGGAUGCUUGAAGCCUCUAUUCCUUUUCCCACUCACAAUCUCCAAUAUUACUACUCCGAAGCUAAAUAUGUCCGACUUGAAAGAGAACUUUCCAUCAAAUGCAUACUCCGGAGCCAUGUAGCCGCUGUUAAGAGAUCUUAUGCAUUAUGUUCUAUGAAAAGAUUAUGUAUACAUGACUACUUUUGUGUUUGUGUGUGUGUGUGUGUGACACACUUACUAUGUCCCAACAACUCGUUUUGUUCUUGCUGUAGUCUGAUCGCCUUCAAUCAUUCUAGCUAGUCCAAAAUCUGAGAUCUUCGCAUUUAAAUUCUCAUCUAAUAAGAUAUUGCUUGUUUUUAGGUCCCUGUGGAUGAUUUUUACUCUGGAAUCGUUAUGGAGGUAAACCAUACCCCUUGCAAUCCCCAUGAUGAUAUCGAAGCGCUUUGGCCAAGUCAAUAGUGGCCUUCUUUCUUGAUCUGCAUGUGUUGAAACAUGAAGAGUAUUACUAAGGUAAAAUAAAUCUUUGAUCCUCUUGGAUAGAGUAGACACUGUAGAAUGAUUUUCUUGAAAUUAUUGUCCAAACCAAAUAUGAAAUAGUCCAAGCUUUUGUUCUGCAUGUAUUCAUAGAUCAACAUCUUUUCCUCCCCUUCAAUGCAGCAUCCUAGGAUUCUGACCAGGUUUCUGUGCUGGAGUUUCGCAAUCAAAAUUAAUUCGUUUUUGAACUCUUCAGGGCCUUGUCCAGAAUUCUUUGACAUUCUUUUCACUGCAAUUACUUGCUCUGCUGAUAGUAUUCCCUGCAGCAGCCAUAUGAAAAAAAAUCAAAACUCAAAACAAUACAUAUUAUUAUGCCUAUAAGCAAGUAUCAAUAUAUAUGCAUCAUUUAACAUAAUGUUUUUACCUUGUAAACAGGACCAAAACCACCUUCUCCGAUCAUGUUCUCUUUCGAGAAGUUAUUCGUGGCUGCUGCAAUAGCUGCCAGAUCAAAUAGAGGUAACUCCGAUAACUCUCUUGUCUUCCUAGAAGCUGUCAUGGGAGUUUCACAUUUGUUUCAGUGGUCAAAAUAUAUGCCUUGUAUCACAUGUCAUUCUAUAGAAAGGAUCAGUGCUGCUACCUUCUCUUUUGCAUCUCAUCUUAAGAAAUAAGCCCAAGAUGAGCAUUCCGAAACUAGAAGCAGCAGCUGCAUAUAUGAUCUUCAUCUUGGCAUGCCCUUUCCUCCUCUUCUCCCAAUCUGGUUCAAGUUCUAAACAAUAAGAAUCAGCUAUUAGCUCUUGGGCUUGCUUCCUUAAUUCAUUCAAGAUUUGCAGUUCCUGAGCUUUACUUACCUGUUUCUGAAACUGGCACGCGAAUGUAGAUAUUUGGCCCUCCACCGGGUUCUACAGUCUGCUCCCUUGUAUCGAUCAAGUCCCCAAACCACAUCAAGCAGCUUGUCUCAUUCUUGAAGUAGGGAUCACCAUAAGCACUGCAGGUACAGUUCUUCAAGCAUUCAUCAUGGCAUUCACCAAUGCUCAUACGAGUUUCCAAUUGAAAACUCAGUGAAUCAGGAAUCUUGAGUCCUUCAACUUUCAGAAAACCAUCUUCCACUUGGCAAUCUAGUGUCAAAUUUCUGGUACAUCCACUGCUCCAGUUAAAGUUUCCCCAUUCUUCGUCAGAUUUCGGCUUGAAUCCCCUCAAACACUCACAAACUGGUGUCUUGUUAAUUUUACAGAUACCAUUGGCACCACACAAGCCAUAAUUGUCACACAAGUCCCGUGGCCCUGAAAUCAUAAGAAUCCAGCCAUCAUUCUCUUCAUUCAUCACAUAGCGUUGAGUUGAUCCUGAGUAGUUCAUGAUUAAUCUUGUGUUUAUUGAUUCUUUGAAGGGCUGAAAUAUGGAAACCAGCUUUCCGUUGUUGGUUUCAAUCGAAGUUUUCCACUCUU
This 6287-nucleotide long non-coding RNA is filed under the name Salvia miltiorrhiza (redroot sage). RNAcentral describes it as "long non-coding RNA (SMIL_LNC008464)". The record is from RNAcentral. Lineage: Eukaryota; Viridiplantae; Streptophyta; Magnoliopsida; Lamiales; Lamiaceae.